This 329-nucleotide ribosomal RNA is filed under the name uncultured eukaryote. RNAcentral describes it as "partial 18S ribosomal RNA". It matches the Rfam family "Eukaryotic small subunit ribosomal RNA", at positions 1470 to 1796 of the family's 1831-position model. The record is from RNAcentral.
CCCUUAGAUGUUCGGGGCCGCACACGCGCUACAUUGAAUGGAUCAACGUGCGUCUAGCCUUGCCCGAAAGGGCUGGGAAACCCGUUGAAACCCAUUCGUGAUAGGGAUUGGGGCUUGCAAUUAUUUCCCAUAAACGAGGAAUUCCUAGUAAGCGCGAGUCAUCAGCUCGCGUUGAUUGCGUCCCUGCCCUUUGUACACACCGCCCGUCGCUCCUACCGAUUGAAUGGUCCGGUGAAGCGUUCGGACCGUGGCCUUUGGACGGUUCGCCGUCUGUUGGCUGCGGGAAGUUCGUUAAACCUUAUCAUUUAGAGGAAGGAGAAGUCGUAACA